RNAcentral lists this long non-coding RNA (369 nucleotides) under Olea europaea (common olive). RNAcentral describes it as "long non-coding RNA (OEUR_LNC010982)". Lineage: Eukaryota; Viridiplantae; Streptophyta; Magnoliopsida; Lamiales; Oleaceae. The record is from RNAcentral.
AACAACGAGAAGGCAGCUCUGCUCCUGUAGAUUUAAAUAAGCUGGCUACUGAUGAAAAGCCAGAGAGGGAUAAUUUUGCUGCGGAGCAUAUUGGGCGAGUAUCAAGAAGGAAGUAUAGAUCAAGAUCUGGGGAGGACGAGGACGAGGAUGAAAAUGGAGAAAAAAAUGCACAUAAUGAAGGGAAACCAAGACGGAAGUACAGGUCAAGGCCUGGGAGACACGAGGAGAAUGAUGUAAAUGGAGAAGAAACAGAGAUGAAGCACUCAAGGAGGGAGCACCGUUCUCAUUCUUCUUCUCUGGAAGAUGGAGAAAAAAGUGAAGAGGACAGGGAACGCGAGCGCUCAAAAAGGAAGCACCGGUCUCGUAUUU